Molecule: non-coding RNA, 5595 nt
Organism: Phascolarctos cinereus (koala)
Lineage: Eukaryota; Metazoa; Chordata; Mammalia; Diprotodontia; Phascolarctidae
Source: RefSeq, a predicted model, not a curated record
CGGGUGGAUUGCAGAGCAGCUUGUUUAUAUAAACCCGGAAACGUCAACAGAGGGAGAGAGAGGGAGGGAAGAGAAGGGAGGGAGAUACAGCGGUACAGGGUGAGAGUCACAUUACAGCCCAAGAGGACGCCUGCAGCAGAGGCGGUAGCAGCCUCGGAGCAGAGCUCAGCUCUCUCUACCUGGUCCUUCAGCUCCGAGCGAUUGAAUUACACCCACUUUGCUAAGAACAGGCGGGGGUGGGAGAGCUGGAGAGAGAGGACUGAGCAGAGAGAGGGUGAGACUGGCCUGGAGGGGAACUUCACUGCUCCAGCCUGACCCCGCCUGGGCCAGCGACCCUUCUAGCUGUGGACGGUGGAGCUGAGUAGAAGGCUUUCUCUCCCUCUCCUUCUCUCCUAGCAGUGGAUCAACAGGUGUCCCAGGGACUUAGAAGCAGCCGGAGGUUUAGAAAGGGACAGGCAGGCAGUCGCCGAGUCCGGGGCAAGAAGAAAGUUGCUCCCCCAUUCCUCUUCCUCUGCUCGAACUCCACCUUCUUCCCCUUUGCUCCCGUGGUCGUCCAGGAGGCGUCUGGAUUUGGCUAGUCGGGGUCCUCGGGCGUCUCCGAAAGAGAGGAGGACAGGAAGCUAAUAAGAUCCCCUCCCUUUCAUCCCCCCCCUCAAAAAAAACCCCCAACAGCACCACAAACUUUAGGGAAGAGAGUAGGGGGAAGGCGGGAGAGAGAAGGGGAGGCGGUGUCUCUCUCCCUCAGAGAUUCAGACAUGACCGGUCUGGAAGAAGACCAGGAGUUUGACUUUGAUUUCCUUUUCGAGUUUAACCAGGCCGACGAGGGCACCUCUGGAGCUGGCAAAGAACACUAUAAUUACACAUCUUCAAAUAUCAAUGCUGGUUUGCCUCUCAAUGUGGCCCAUCCCUCAUUGUCAACCCCAUGUCAUGAUCUUCAGACAACCAAUCCGGUCAUUUCAGUUGUACCAUCAACAAAUCAUCCCUCUGGAUAUGGAGGCAGUAUUGACAGUGGGACCUCAGGAUAUUAUCUUUCUUCAAAUGUCAGACCUAAUGGAGCCCCAGCAUUAGAAAGUCCUCGGAUUGAGAUAACUUCCUAUUUGGGACUUCAUCAUAACAACAACCAGUUUUUUCAUGAUGCUGAUGUUGAAGAAACGAUACCAAACUCUAAACGAUCUCCUUCUACUGCUACCUUGAAUCUGCCAAACAUCGAAGCUUAUAGAGAUCCAUCCUGCCUGAGUCCGGCUAGUAGCUUAUCUUCCCGAAGCUGUAAUUCUGAAGCAUCAUCAUAUGAAUCCAAUUAUUCUUACCCAUAUACAUCUCCUCAGACAUCACCAUGGCAGUCUCCUUGUGUCUCUCCUAAGACCACUGACCCAGAGGAAGGAUUUCCACGGGGUAUGGUGGCCUGCAACUUGCUGAAUUCUCCAAGGCAUUCUCCAUCUACAUCUCCAAGAACAAGCAUUACAGAGGAAAACUGGCUCAGUACCCGUAACUCCAGGCCAUCCUCUCCUUGCAACAAGAGAAAAUAUAACCUAAAUGGGAGGCAGCCAUCUUACUCACCACAUCAUUCGCCAACACCAUCUCCCCAGAAUUCCCCUCGAGUUAGUGUGACAGAUGAGACCUGGCUGGGAAACACUAACCAGUACACCAGUUCUGCUAUCGUGGCUGCUAUCAAUGCCCUUACCACAGACAGCACAAUAGAUAUGAAUGAUGGAAUUCCUAUAAAGUCCAGGAAAACGGCCCUAGAGCAUACUCCUUCCAUGACACUCAAGAUAGAGCCAGCUGGUGAGGAUCAUGGGACCAUGUCACCCUCUUCUGAUUUAUCACCUGAAGAAUUUUCCACCUUCCAGCAUAUCAGGAAAGGAAACUUCUGUGAUCAGUACCUUUCGGUGCCACAACAUCCAUACCAAUGGGCCAAACCAAAGCCUCUGUCUCCCACUUCAUAUAUGAGCCCGUCUCUGCCUGCCCUUGAUUGGCAGCUGCCAUCUCACUCAGGACCUUAUGAACUUAGGAUCGAAGUGCAGCCCAAAUCCCACCACAGAGCUCAUUAUGAGACUGAAGGAAGUCGAGGGGCUGUGAAGGCAUCUGCAGGAGGACACCCUAUUGUACAGCUACAUGGUUACUUAGAAAGUGAGCCGCUCACGCUCCAGCUGUUCAUCGGGACGGCAGACGACCGCCUGCUGAGACCACAUGCUUUCUACCAGGUCCACCGGAUAACAGGGAAAACAGUCUCCACCACCAGCCACGAAGCAAUCCUCUCCAACACCAAAGUCCUGGAAAUUCCACUUCUACCAGAAAAUAACAUGAGAGCAAUUAUUGAUUGUGCUGGAAUCCUAAAACUCAGAAACUCAGACAUUGAACUGCGGAAAGGUGAAACUGACAUUGGAAGAAAGAAUACUCGAGUGAGACUGGUUUUCCGGGUUCAUAUUCCACAAUCUAAUGGCAGAACUCUAUCUCUACAAGUAGCAUCAAAUCCCAUUGAGUGUUCCCAGAGAUCUGCCCAAGAAUUGCCUUUAGUGGAGAAACAAAGCACAGACAGCUAUCCAGUGAUCGGUGGGAAAAAAAUGAUAUUGUCUGGUCACAACUUUCUGCAAGACUCAAAAGUAAUUUUCGUGGAAAAAGCACCAGAUGGUCACCACGUGUGGGAAAUGGAAGCAAAAACUGACAAAGAAAUGUGCAAGCCAAAUUCACUGGUGGUUGAGAUACCACCUUUUCGCAAUCAGAGAAUUACCAGUCCUGUUCAGGUUAAUUUCUACGUCUGCAAUGGAAAGAGAAAGAGAAGCCAGUACCAGCAUUUCACCUACCUUCCUGCAAAUGUUCCAAUUAUAAAAACAGAACCCACCGAUGACUAUGAGCCUGCUCAAACCUGUGGACCAAUGAACCCAGGAUUAAACCCUCUCUCUAAGCCAUACUACAGUCAGCAGAUCAUGAUGCCUCCUGAUCCUGGUUCUUGCCUUGUGGCUGGCUUCACUUCCUGUCAGCAGAGAAACACUGUGAUGUCAUCUUCUCCCAACUCAAGCCCCAAGCUUCAUGACCUUUCCUCUUCUGCUUACAACAAGUGUAUCACGAAUCCAGGCCACAGCCACCUAGGACUUCAACAGCCCGCUGGAGGUGUCCCCACUAUCCAGGAAGUGCCAAGGUCUAUAGUUGUACACCCAAGCUCUCCUGAUCAGUCAUCUCACAUCAUGCUGCAGCCGCAGGUGAGUCAACAUCUGAGCAGUAGCUGUUCCCUUGGUUACCAACAAACACUCUAUCCCAACAGUCCCUCUUCUCCAGUUCCAUCCGUUACCCAAGAGUCAACCUAUUUGCAGUCCUGCAGUCCAACUCACUCAUCCAUAAUGGGUCAACAGCAGCACCAACUGCCGAAAGUUCAAAGAAAUGAAUCUCCAACCAAUCAGCCACUGUCAUUGCCAGAGUUGCAUGAGGACAGUAAUCAUAAUUUGGCCCCUAUUCCCGUAACGAUCAAGCGAGAACCUGAGGAAUUGGACCAGUUGUACCUGGACGACGAAAUGUCAGUGACAACCCAUGCAAAUUGUGGCCUUCCCCAAGCAGCCAGGUUGCAAGCUAAAACAGAGGAUUAAAGUGUUGGGAAGAUUGCUACUCUUCCCUGUGUCUGGGGAUUAAAGUUUGUGAGCUGUGUGAUUUCAGAUGCCAAGUAAAUGAAAUAAUAAGAAACGACCUCUCCAGCACCAACGUCCAUGCAUAGCUUGCUUUGCAAUAUUGGAACUAGUUCAGAAGCCGCAUGGUUUCUCUGCAGCUGGCAGGUCAGCUUCUGUAUCAAGAGACUUUUAACUGAAUGAACUGAAUUCAUUACCUGGUACCACUUGGAUCUUCCGACUUUACUGAAGCUGGGAGCUGAAGAUUUCUAUCAUGUGUUAAAAAAAAAGUCAUCAGAAAAAAAUAUUCUGGAGAAAAACAAAGUCAUCUCAAGAAAAAAGGGGGAGGAUACAUGUGGAGGAAAAAACUGUGUGGUGACACCUUUUAUGGGAGGAAAUGGGGAUACAAGAGAAUGAUAGGUUGGACCCAGGCUUAAUCUUUUCGGCACGGCUGGAAUUCGAUACUGGAAGUGCCUUAUUUUACCAGAUCAUGGCAUCAGAGCAUCUUAGUAGGCUUUGAAUUUGCUGCCAUAUGAGUAUUUGUAGGAGUAAAAACUAUCAAAGAUUUCACUCUUAUGCUUAAUCCUUUUCUAAAUCAAAAGAAUACUGCCCGUGAAGGGUGGUGGGGGGAGAGCCUAUGAAGUUUCCUGAAUGUACUUCAGACUUUUCCUCUGCUGUAAUUGAUGAUUUCUUGCCUUAUUCAGUGCAUUUCAGAAUCCUUCCAGUUUGUCAUCUCAACUCUUUUAUCAUAGCCUUUUUUUUCCUGUGCUAGUAAACCAUAGGAUUGUUAAUCAUAGCAUGCUAAGAUUUUUUAUUUUAAUCUAGCUUCAAACAUAGCACAAGUCAGUUAAAUAGCACAAAAUAGAUUGACAGACAAAACAUUUGUAUCUAUCUAUUACAUGAUAGAUCUUGCAUUUGCAUGUACAUACAUCUAUAGGACAUAUAUUUAUGUAUAACAAAUAAUCGAGUUGGUGAUUGUCAGCCUUCAGCCCAGCAAGGGCAACACGUUUAGCAAUAAUCAGUAUCCAUUUUAAGAAAUGCAUUUCAGAGUCCAGAUAUGACUUUUCAACUAAGUCUGUAAGGGGCCAUCAGCCCACCAACAGAUAUGCAUUUUUCUUGCCUCAUGCAGUUAAACAAGCACUUUAGAAAGCCAGGAAAGAUGCAUACCAAGAACAUGUUCUUUACCAAACGGCAAAAGAUGAAAAUAAGUGUAAAUACCAUUACAAAAGAGUGUAAAAUAUUUGUUCAAUUAUAAGAUUAUUAUUCCACAGAAGCCUUAUAACUCUCUGCUUCAUGAAAGAAAGAUAUUACCAAAAAACAAUGUUUUAAUAUGCAGCACUGUAUAGGAUAUUUUCAAAUUAGUUCAUGUUAAUGGUGCACCUAAUAGGUUAGCUUAGCCUUUAUUAUUACUGCAUUUUGUACAAUGAACAGCUUAUUUCACAUUAUUACUAGCAGUGACCUAUUACUUCAUAUAACUCCAAAAAGAAAAAAGAAAAAAAAAAAGCAUGGCUUAAUUAACGAAUGUUUAACCUUAAUAUUGUGCCUUAGGAAUCGAUGCCCCCUUAUGGAACAUGCCUGUAUUACACCCUCAGGUGGAGGUUGUAAAUUACUACUUAAAUGUAGUGUCAUCAAGUGGAAGAACUUUCUUGCAGACCUUUUCACAUAUUCUUCUGUAUAAUUAUGUCUUACUUUUCUUAAAAAAAAUGGAGAACCCAAAAGCCAUAUUUGUAACAUUUGCACAUAACUGUGAAGAGCUGAGAAUAGAAUAUGGCUGUUUGUACAUAUUGGGCAGUUACUGCACCUGCUAGCAAGCUAUAUUAUUCCUUAACUGUUUAUUCCCAGUUAUUUACCUAGUACUUAGCAUCAUAAGAGUUGCAUGAAACAUGUUCUGUAGACUGCCAUUUUAAAGUGAAAACUUGGAUAGUUGUGUAAGCUAUCUUUGUAGUUAGAAAUUAGAUCAAAAUAAAGCAAUCUAUUAUAUAUAUUAUUAUUUUUUGCUGGA